GGAUAUGCGGCAGGAGGGGCACACGGAUCCACUGGCAUCGUGCUCCAGGAGUCGUCGGAUGGACUGGAGAUCUGCAAAGGGAGAUUGGCAAACAGGUUAAUGCACUGGUUAAGCUGCACCUGCUCUCCUCCUUCUGAUUUUUUCCCCACAAACUGGCCAUUUAAACCAAUGCCAAUCAGCGGAAUUCUUUACUCGACUGCACUUGCAUCGUACUCGUAAUUGAUUUAAUCUACGCCGCCUGCCUGGUUUAUUAUUUCUAUUAGCACUUUGUCUUUCUGUGUCAAUAUUAUGUAAAAAUGCCGGCCACCAAACGUCAGCGUUUUAACUUGCUUCUGUUA
This is a long non-coding RNA of Drosophila erecta, 338 nucleotides long. RefSeq lists it as uncharacterized. The record is from RefSeq and is a predicted model, not a curated record. The transcript is spliced from 2 exons. Lineage: Eukaryota; Metazoa; Arthropoda; Insecta; Diptera; Drosophilidae.